CCUACGGGAGGCAGCAGUGGGGAAUAUUGCACAAUGGGCGCAAGCCUGAUGCAGCAACGCCGCGUGAGGGACGACGGCCUUCGGGUUGUAAACCUCUUUUAGUAGGGAAGAAGCGAAAGUGACGGUACCUGCAGAAAAAGCACCGGCUAACUACGUGCCAGCAGCCGCGGUAAUACGUAGGGUGCAAGCGUUGUCCGGAAUUAUUGGGCGUAAAGAGCUCGUAGGCGGUUUGUCGCGUCUGCUGUGAAAACCUGAGGCUCAACCUCAGACCUGCAGUGGGUACGGGCAGACUAGAGUGCGGUAGGGGAGAUUGGAAUUCCUGGUGUAGCGGUGGAAUGCGCAGAUAUCAGGAGGAACACCGGAUGGGCGAAGGCAGAUCUCUGGGCCGUAACUGACGCUGAGGAGCGAAAGCAUGGGGAGCGAACAGGAUUAGAUACCCUGGUAGUCCAUGCCGUAAACGUUGGGAACUAGAUGUAGGGACCAUUCCACGGUUUCUGUGUCGCAGCUAACGCAUUAAGUUCCCGCCUGGGAGUACGGCGCAAGGCUAAAACGUCAAAUGAAUUGACGG
This 568-nucleotide ribosomal RNA is filed under the name uncultured bacterium. RNAcentral's name for it is "bacterial SSU rRNA". It matches the Rfam family "Bacterial small subunit ribosomal RNA", at positions 338 to 916 of the family's 1533-position model. The record is from RNAcentral.